AUUGAACGCUGGCGGCAUGCCUUACACAUGCAAGUCGAACGGUAACAGGGAGCUUGCUCCGCUGACGAGUGGCGAACGGGUGAGUAAUGUAUCGGAACGUACCUUUCAGUGGGGGAUAACGUAGCGAAAGUUACGCUAAUACCGCAUAUUCUGUGAGCAGGAAAGCAGGGGAUCGCAAGACCUUGCGCUGAUUGAGCGGCCGAUAUCAGAUUAGCUAGUUGGUGAGGUAAAGGCUCACCAAGGCGACGAUCUGUAGCGGGUCUGAGAGGAUGAUCCGCCACACUGGAACUGAGACACGGUCCAGACUCCUACGGGAGGCAGCAGUGGGGAAUUUUGGACAAUGGGGGCAACCCUGAUCCAGCCAUGCCGUGUGAGUGAAGAAGGCCUUCGGGUUGUAAAGCUCUUUCGGCCGGGAAGAAAUCGCAUGGGUUAAUACCCUGUGCGGAUGACGGUACCGGCAUAAGAAGCACCGGCUAACUACGUGCCAGCAGCCGCGGUAAUACGUAGGGUGCGAGCGUUAAUCGGAAUUACUGGGCGUAAAGCGUGCGCAGGCGGUUUUGUAAGACAGGCGUGAAAUCCCCGGGCUCAACCUGGGAACUGCGCUUGUGACUGCAAGGCUAGAGUAUGGCAGAGGGGGGUGGAAUUCCACGUGUAGCAGUGAAAUGCGUAGAGAUGUGGAGGAAUACCAAUGGCGAAGGCAGCCCCCUGGGCCAAUACUGACGCUCAUGCACGAAA
RNAcentral lists this ribosomal RNA (735 nucleotides) under uncultured bacterium. Its description in RNAcentral is "bacterial SSU rRNA". It matches the Rfam family "Bacterial small subunit ribosomal RNA", at positions 28 to 758 of the family's 1533-position model. The record is from RNAcentral.